RNAcentral lists this ribosomal RNA (883 nucleotides) under cf. Camarosporium sp. 3 PWC-2017. RNAcentral describes it as "eukaryotic LSU rRNA". It matches the Rfam family "Eukaryotic large subunit ribosomal RNA", at positions 63 to 963 of the family's 3401-position model. The record is from RNAcentral. Lineage: Eukaryota; Fungi; Ascomycota; Dothideomycetes; Pleosporales.
AACCAACAGGGAUUGCCCUAGUAACGGCGAGUGAAGCGGCAACAGCUCAAAUUUGAAAUCUGGCUCUUUCAGAGUCCGAGUUGUAAUUUGCAGAGGGCGCUUUGGCGUUGGCAGCGGUCCAAGUUCCUUGGAACAGGACGUCACAGAGGGUGAGAAUCCCGUACGUGGUCGCUGGCCUUCGCCGUGUAAAGCCCCUUCGACGAGUCGAGUUGUUUGGGAAUGCAGCUCUAAAUGGGAGGUAAAUUUCUUCUAAAGCUAAAUACUGGCCAGAGACCGAUAGCGCACAAGUAGAGUGAUCGAAAGAUGAAAAGCACUUUGGAAAGAGAGUCAAAUAGCACGUGAAAUUGUUGAAAGGGAAGCGCUUGCAGCCAGACUUGCCUGUAGUUGCUCAUCCGGGCUUUUGCCCGGUGCACUCUUCUGCGGGCAGGCCAGCAUCAGUUUGGGCGGUUGGAUAAAGGUCUCUGUCAUGUACCUCUCUUCGGGGAGGCCUUAUAGGGGAGACGUCAUGCAACCAGCCUGGACUGAGGUCCGCGCAUUUUGCUAGGAUGCUGGCGUAAUGGCUGUAAGCGGCCCGUCUUGAAACACGGACCAAGGAGUCUAACAUCUAUGCGAGUGUUUGGGUGUCAAGCCCGAACGCGUAAUGAAAGUGAACGGAGGUGGGACCCCAUUAGGGUGCACCAUCGACCGAUCCUGAUGUCUUCGGAUGGAUUUGAGUAAGAGCAUGGCUGUUGGGACCCGAAAGAUGGUGAACUAUGCUUGAAUAGGGUGAAGCCAGAGGAAACUCUGGUGGAGGCUCGCAGCGGUUCUGACGUGCAAAUCGAUCGUCAAAUUUGGGCAUAGGGGCGAAAGACUAAUCGAACUAUCUAGUAGCUGGUUCCUGCCG